RNAcentral lists this small RNA (79 nucleotides) under Salmonella enterica subsp. enterica serovar Typhimurium. Its description in RNAcentral is "Hfq binding sRNA". It matches the Rfam family "STnc490 Hfq binding RNA", at positions 1 to 79 of the family's 124-position model. Lineage: Bacteria; Pseudomonadati; Pseudomonadota; Gammaproteobacteria; Enterobacterales; Enterobacteriaceae. The record is from RNAcentral.
AACCCCCAGCUAGGCUGGGGGGGCCGGAAAGCUUUCAGCUUUAAGCCAGUUAUUAAAACCCCUUUUGAUUUGUUAAAAC